Molecule: ribosomal RNA, 273 nt
Filed under: uncultured bacterium
Lineage: Bacteria
Description: partial 16S ribosomal RNA
Rfam family: Bacterial small subunit ribosomal RNA
Source: RNAcentral
UACAGAGGGUGCGAGCGUUAAUCGGAAUUACUGGGCGUAAAGCGCACGUAGACGGUCUUGUAAGUCGGGUGUGAAAGCCCCGGGCUUAACCUGGGAACUGCAUUCGAGACUGCAUUACUGGAGUAUGGGAGAGGGCAGUGGAAUUUCCGGUGUAGCGGUGAAAUGCGUAGAUAUCGGAAGGAACAUCAGUGGCGAAAGCGACUGCCUGGCCCAAUACUGACGUUCAUGUGCGAAAGCGUGGGGAGCAAACAGGAUUAGAAACCCGCGUAGUCC